RNAcentral lists this ribosomal RNA (1347 nucleotides) under uncultured bacterium. RNAcentral describes it as "bacterial SSU rRNA". It matches the Rfam family "Bacterial small subunit ribosomal RNA", at positions 13 to 1381 of the family's 1533-position model. The record is from RNAcentral.
UUGAUCCUGGCUCAGGACGAACGCUGGCGGCACGCUUAACACAUGCAAGUCGAACGAGAGAAGAGAAGCUUGCUUUUCUGAUCUAGUGGCGGACGGGUGAGUAACACGUGAGCAAUCUGCCUUUCAGAGGGGGAUACCGAUUGGAAACGAUCGUUAAUACCGCAUAACAUAAUUGAACCGCAUGAUUUGAUUAUCAAAGAUUUAUCGCUGAAAGAUGAGCUCGCGUCUGAUUAGCUAGUUGGUAAGGUAACGGCUUACCAAGGCGACGAUCAGUAGCCGGACUGAGAGGUUGAUCGGCCACAUUGGGACUGAGACACGGCCCAGACUCCUACGGGAGGCAGCAGUGGGGAAUAUUGCACAAUGGAGGAAACUCUGAUGCAGCGAUGCCGCGUGAGGGAAGAAGGUUUUAGGAUUGUAAACCUCUGUCUUCAGGGACGAAAAAAGACGGUACCUGAGGAGGAAGCUCCGGCUAACUACGUGCCAGCAGCCGCGGUAAUACGUAGGGAGCGAGCGUUGUCCGGAAUUACUGGGUGUAAAGGGAGCGUAGGCGGGAUCGCAAGUCAGAUGUGAAAACUAUGGGCUUAACCCAUAAACUGCAUUUGAAACUGUGGUUCUUGAGUGAAGUAGAGGUAAGCGGAAUUCCUAGUGUAGCGGUGAAAUGCGUAGAUAUUAGGAGGAACAUCAGUGGCGAAGGCGGCUUACUGGGCUUUAACUGACGCUGAGGCUCGAAAGCGUGGGGAGCAAACAGGAUUAGAUACCCUGGUAGUCCACGCCGUAAACGAUGAUUACUAGGUGUGGGGGGACUGACCCCUUCCGUGCCGCAGCAAACGCAAUAAGUAAUCCACCUGGGGAGUACGACCGCAAGGUUGAAACUCAAAGGAAUGACGGGGGGCCGCACAAGCAGUGGAGUAUGUGGAUUAAUUCGAAGCAACGCGAAGAACCUUACCAGGUCUUGACAUCGUAUGCAUAGCUCAGAGAUGAGUGAAAUCUCUUCGGAGACAUAUAGACAGGUGGUGCAUGGUUGUCGUCAGCUCGUGUCGUGAGAUGUUGGGUUAAGUCCCGCAACGAGCGCAACCCUUACUGUUAGUUGCUACGCAAGAGCACUCUAGCAGGACUGCCGUUGACAAAACGGAGGAAGGUGGGGAUGACGUCAAAUCAUCAUGCCCUUUAUGACCUGGGCCUCACACGUACUACAAUGGCUGUCAACAGAGGGAAGCAAAGCCGCGAGGUGGAGCAAACCCCUAAAAGCAGUCUUAGUUCGGAUUGUAGGCUGCAACCCGCCUACAUGAAGUCGGAAUUGCUAGUAAUCGCAGAUCAGCAUGCUGCGGUGAAUACGUUCCCGGGCCU